GACGAACGCUGGCGGCGUGCUUAACACAUGCAAGUCGAACGGUGAAGCGCCUUCCUUUUUGGUGGGUGUGGAUGAGUGGCGAACGGGUGAGUAACACGUGAGUAACCUGCCCCCUUCUUCUGGAUAACCGCAUGAAAGUGUGGCUAAUACGGGAUAUUCUGGGUCUGUCGCAUGAUGGGUCUGGGAAAGAUAUUGUUUCGGUGGGGGAUGGGCUCGCGGCCUAUCAGCUUGUUGGUGGGGUGAUGGCCUACCAAGGCGGGGACGGGUAGCCGGCCUGAGAGGGUGGACGGUCACACUGGGACUGAGACACGGCCCAGACUCCUACGGGAGGCAGCAGUGGGGAAUAUUGCACAAUGGGCGCAAGCCUGAUGCAGCGACGCCGCGUGAGGGAUGGAGGCCUUCGGGUUGUGAACCUCUUUCGCCAGUGAAGCAGGCCUGCCUCGUUUGUGGGUGGGUUGACGGUAGCUGGAUAAGAAGCGCCGGCUAACUACGUGC
This 495-nucleotide ribosomal RNA is filed under the name uncultured bacterium. Its description in RNAcentral is "partial 16S ribosomal RNA". It matches the Rfam family "Bacterial small subunit ribosomal RNA", at positions 28 to 508 of the family's 1533-position model. The record is from RNAcentral.